GUUUGUCCGAAGUCUUAAAGUAUAUCAAGUAAAUACCCAAAGGUUGGAAAGAGAAAAGCCUUGUGAUUUGAUUACUAGGAAGUUGUUGUGCAUAGUACAUCCUUCACGGAAAAUUCUUAAGAAAGUUGCAGUCAAAGUUGAAUCAGGUGAAGACUGAUGCAGAUGUGUUUCUUCAGGUAAUUGAUUAGUCUACUUUUCAUUUGGGAGACCAAGGUUUCUCCUUUAAUAACCGAAACUACAGUGACCACAGAAUUUUGUACUACUUUUUUACAAUAAAUUGACUAUGGACUUUCCUCCAUAAGUAGAGAGGCUGUUUUGAUAUUUGAACUUGUGAUCUAGCAAAAACUUUACCACUCCA
Molecule: non-coding RNA, 358 nt
Organism: Arachis ipaensis
Lineage: Eukaryota; Viridiplantae; Streptophyta; Magnoliopsida; Fabales; Fabaceae
Source: RefSeq, a predicted model, not a curated record